RNAcentral lists this ribosomal RNA (370 nucleotides) under uncultured soil bacterium. RNAcentral's name for it is "bacterial SSU rRNA". It matches the Rfam family "Bacterial small subunit ribosomal RNA", at positions 26 to 411 of the family's 1533-position model. The record is from RNAcentral.
AGAGCGAACGCUGGCGGCAGGCCUAACACAUGCAAGUCGAACGGACCCUUCGGGGUUAGUGGCGGACGGGUGAGUAACACGUGGGAACGUGCCUUUAGGUUCGGAAUAGCUCCUGGAAACGGGUGGUAAUGCCGAAUGUGCCCUUCGGGGGAAAGAUUUAUCGCCUUUAGAGCGGCCCGCGUCUGAUUAGCUUGUUGGUGGGGUAAUGGCUCACCAAGGCUACGAUCAGUAGCUGGUCUGAGAGGAUGACCAGCCACAUUGGGACUGAGACACGGCCCAAACUCCGUACGGGAGGCAGCGAGGUGGGGAAUCGUUGCGACAAGUGGGACGAAAGGCCUAGACCGCACGCCAGUCGCCGUGUGUAGUGAGU